GGAAAUAGAAACACAGCAGAAGGGAGUUAAGAGUAGGGCCGGCCAGUCUUCAGCAGCUGGGUUGAAACCAGUUUCUGCAGUUCUCCAUCUCCAGUGUCCCAGGGAGAUCUGGAAAGACUCAACUGGACUGGACUCACAGACGUCUCAGCCUGGUCUUUAGAUCCAUUUUAACCACCUCACGCCAAAUGCCAAGGUAACUGCUUGGAACUUUAACCCCGGCGUUCUCAGGAGUCUGGGAGGAUCCACAUGGAAACGUACGUUUUAAUCAAAUUCAGCACAAGACUUGCCAAGUGGAGACUGCAGUCAAUCAAGGUGUUGAAAGUAACUCACCAUGGCAUUUAGGAUGUGUGGAGUGGGGAUAUUGGGCAUCCGGAGAGAAGAGAAUGCGACUCAAAAAAGGUAGACAUAUCAGUGGAGUAGAGUUUCCAGGAGAAAUGAUGGACAGACAGGAAACAGCCAAGGGAAGGGUCAUGGAAGGAUUGCAAGCCCCACCCAGGUUGUUGCUUCAGCAGGGCAGGACUUCUGGACCUUCACAGUGGGCCUCCUGGGUCAGAGAGUGAAGAUGGGUCAUCCAGCUUUUCUAUAUGGAGUCAAUUGCUAGUGCUAAAUUCAUUCAUUGAAGACCUAGACUGUACUUGGAAAUGAAAUCCUUAGAGGUAAGGACACCAUAUGGUGACCACGUGAAACCAUAAACUUAUAGGUUCCUUUGUCUCUAAGAAGAGGAUGAGGCCCACAAGCAUCACAAAGAGGGAAGAGAGCGUCAGGAAACUUCUAGGAGGAAAGGGGGGUCUGGAAGCUAGAAAAGGGAUUCUUGGAAGAAGCCAGUCAGCUGCCCCUUGCUUUGACGCUGAGCUUCCAGAUCUGUGGAGCCGUGCUCUGUAUCAGCUGCUCACAUGUAGAACUGAUCGUCACUGACCGGCUUCCCUUUAGCUACCCAUCUGGAGCCUAAUACUCUGACCGCACUGUGAGGAAGAACCAGAAAUGCCACCAAAACAACCAAGCACCCAAACUUUAGUUCCAUAGGGCUUCGGGGACCAUGACAGUAUGCCUUCUAAUAGUCCAGACUUGCUUCUCAAUGCUCAGGGUCACACCGGCUUGAAUGCACCCCAGGGCUGGAUUCUGAAAGCCUGGUCCUCCUCUAUAAACCCUGGGAAACAGAAGUCCCUGCUGCUUCACUUGUUCCAAGAAUUAAAUGGGGUGACUGGAAGAGGGGGCUCUGCCAGACUGGAACCAUGCAAGGUGGCAUGGCAUGAGGAUCUACACUCAAAGGAUGUAACAACAUUCCUACAGCCUAGGCGCCUGAGUAGAAGACGGCCAGUCUACUAUAGCGUGAAGGGAUGUCCUCCCGGCAGGUGAAUGGCUCUAGUCUGCCAAGAUACGCAUGCCUGGGUCCUUAUGUCCUGCACCCUUUAAGGGUAGUGUCCUCAUUUGGUCAUGCCUAUUUCAUGGCUGCCUGUCUAGGAGCUAGUCUACAAAAAGAUAGAGUCAAUGGGGUGCACAUGCCCAUUCACACUUUAAUUUGCAACAUAAAACCAAGUUCUUUCCACUUUGCCUGCCCCCCGUUUUGCACAGCCAUCCUGUCUUGGCCCCUCAAGUCAGAAACAGAGCUGUGAUGGUAGCCAUUAUACGAGAUCUUACAAAAUUCUACUUGACAAAGACUCUGGAAAACACUGAAGGAAAAGGCAACGCCAAUGGCCAGUGCCAUGUUCUUGUUGUAGAUUACAGGAGCCUUGGAGGAGUUUGGUAAAGACGGUCAGUAUUGUUAGAAAUUUUCUGGGGGCAGGGGAGUAAAGGCUAACUUCUGGGUAACUUUCAAACCUUGACAAAGUGACUCAGCAUUGACCUCCAGGACCAACCAUGAAUAGUUAAAAGGUUUCUGUUCUAGAGACGCACAUGGAUCCUAUGCGUGCCUACAGCAGAUGGGAUGCACACUUUGUUGUGGUGGACAGUGACCUGCCUCUGGAGGUUCCAAAUCUGUAAUACUUAUACAGCAGAUGGGUGCACACUUUGUUGUGGUGGACAGUGACCUGCCUCUGGAGGUUCCAAAUCUGUAAUACUUAUACAGCAGAUGGGAUGCACACUUUGUUGUGGUGGACAGUGACCUGCCUCUGGAGGUUCCAAAUCUGUAAUACUUAUACAGCAGAUGGGAUGCACACUUUGCUAUGGAGGACAGUGACCUGCCUCUGGAGGUUCCAAAUCUGUAAUACUUAUACAGCAGAUGGGAUGCACACUUUGUUGUGGUGGACAGUGACCUGCCUCUGGAGGUUCCAAAUACUUAUCUGGCAGAGAUGAUUUCGAUGGGUGGGGUGCUUUAGUGAGACACUAGUCCUGACAGUUUCGGAAACUCCUUUUAACAACAGCCUGAAACUCCUAGGAGCCCACCGUAAACAGAAGCCGUGGCACUAUCCUUGAUUUAUGAACGAAAAUCCAAAAUAUUUCCCUUUAAAUACAAUCCUGCUGAAUGGUCUCCAUCCCAGAAUGGGGCUUCAAUCUCCUCCUGCCAGAACUGCUAUGUGGCAAGCAGACGCCAGGCUCUGUGUGAAAUCCCAGGUUGUCCUUUGGCAAACAGGUCAGCAUCAGGACCAUUGACGGUCACCUGGGGUUGGCCUGAUUCAUAUUGAAACUCUACCUUUUAGAUUGGUUUUUAAUUUCCCCCACCUCCUAGGUCUCAUUGUUACCUCUCUCCACCACAGGAACCCUGACACUGUCCUGCUUGACGCCCUCUUAGUAGACACCUGUUCCCUAUAUUUGGAGGCUGCCUGACCUCAGAGUCUGGAUUUCAGCUGCCCCUGUUGCAGUUCUCAGUGGAGGCUUGCUCCCUGUGUUUAGAGGCUGGUUUUUACACUCAGAUAGCAGCUGCCUGACCUUGGAGCCUGGUUCCCAGCUGCCAUGCUGUAGCUGUCAGUAAGGCCUUGUCCCUGCUCACAGAGCCUGGACUCUGCUUGCCACGUAGCAUUUCUGGCAGGAGGAGAUUGAAGCCCCAUGCACUGGCAAUGCUCCCGGAACUGCAGGAAAUCUCUCCGUGUUUGUUUUUGCUCUUAACAGUCAAAAUUCUGUGACUCCAGAAUGAUUUCCAGGAAUUACAGUAUGAGAACUUAAUAUGUGUGCUUUUUAUUUUCUUCUUCUUCAAAAAAUAAAAAAUAAAAAU
This is a long non-coding RNA of Mesocricetus auratus (golden hamster), 3148 nucleotides long. RefSeq lists it as uncharacterized. Lineage: Eukaryota; Metazoa; Chordata; Mammalia; Rodentia; Cricetidae. The record is from RefSeq and is a predicted model, not a curated record. The transcript has 2 exons.